Molecule: ribosomal RNA, 505 nt
Filed under: uncultured bacterium
Lineage: Bacteria
Description: partial 16S ribosomal RNA
Rfam family: Bacterial small subunit ribosomal RNA
Source: RNAcentral
GACGAACGCUGGCGGCGUGCCUAAUACAUGCAAGUAGAACGCACAGAUUAUACCGUAGCUUGCUACACCAUAGACUGUGAGUUGCGAACGGGUGAGUAACGCGUAGGUAACCUGCCUGGUAGCGGGGGAUAACUAUUGGAAACGAUAGCUAAUACCGCAUAAUAUUGAUUAUUGCAUGAUAAUUAAUUGAAAGGUGCAAUUGCACCACUACCAGAUGGACCUGCGUUGUAUUAGCUAGUAGGUGAGGUAACGGCUCACCUAGGCGACGAUACAUAGCCGACCUUGGAGGGUGAUCGGCCAAACUGGGACUGAGACACGGCCCAGACUCCUACGGGGGGCAGCAGUAGGGAAUCUUCGGCAAUGGACGGAAGUCUGGCCGAGCAACGCCGCGUGAGUGAAGAAGGUUUUCGGAUCGUAAAGCUCUUUUGUAAGAGAAGAACGGGUGUGAGAGUGGAAAGUUCACACUGUGACGGUAUCUUACCAGAAAGGGACGGCUAACUACGUG